GUGGGAAGGCCCAGACAGCCAGGAUGUUGGCUUAGAAGCAGCCAUCAUUUAAAGAAAGCGUAAUAGCUCACUGGUCGAGUCGGCCUGCGCGGAAGAUGUAACGGGGCUAAACCAUGCACCGAAGCUGCGGCAGCGACACUAUGUGUUGUUGGGUAGGGGAGCGUUCUGUAAGCCGUUGAAGGUGGCCUGUGAGGGUUGCUGGAGGUAUCAGAAGUGCGAAUGCUGACAUAAGUAACGAUAAUGCGGGUGAAAAACCCGCACGCCGGAAGACCAAGGGUUCCUGUCCAACGUUAAUCGGGGCAGGGUGAGUCGACCCCUAAGGCGAGGCCGAAAGGCGUAGUCGAUGGGAAACAGGUUAAUAUUCCUGUACUCGGUGUUACUGCGAAGGGGGGACGGAGAAGGCUAUGUUGGCCGGGCGACGGUUGUCCCGGUUUAAGCAUGUAGGCGGAUGUUCCAGGUAAAUCCGGAACGUUAUUAACGCUGAGGUGUGAUGACGAGGCACUACGGUGCUGAAGUGACAAAUGCCCUGCUUCCAGGAAAAGCCUCUAAGCAUCAGGUAACAUCAAAUCGUACCCCAAACCGACACAGGUGGUCAGGUAGAGAAUACCAAGGCGCUUGAGAGAACUCGGGUGAAGGAACUAGGCAAAAUGGUGCCGUAACUUCGGGAGAAGGCACGCUGAUAUGUAGGUGAAGUGGUUUACCCAUGGAGCUGAAAUCAGUCGAAGAUACCAGCUGGCUGCAACUGUUUAUUAAAAACACAGCACUGUGCAAACACGAAAGUGGACGUAUACGGUGUGACGCCUGCCCGGUGCCGGAAGGUUAAUUGAUGGGGUUAUCCGUAAGGAGAAGCUCUUGAUCGAAGCCCCGGUAAACGGCGGCCGUAACUAUAACGGUCCUAAGGUAGCGAAAUUCCUUGUCGGGUAAGUUCCGACCUGCACGAAUGGCGUAAUGAUGGCCAGGCUGUCUCCACCCGAGACUCAGUGAAAUUGAACUCGCUGUGAAGAUGCAGUGUACCCGCGGCAAGACGGAAAGACCCCGUGAACCUUUACUAUAGCUUGACACUGAACACUGGUCCUUGAUGUGUAGGAUAGGUGGGAGGCUUUGAAGUGUGGACGCCAGUCUGCAUGGAGCCAUCCUUGAAAUACCACCCUUUAAUGGCUGGUGUUCUAACGUGGGCCCCUAAUCGGGGUUGCGGACAGUGUCUGGUGGGUAGUUUGACUGGGGCGGUCUCCUCCUAAAGAGUAACGGAGGAGCACGAAGGUCAGCUAAUCCUGGUCGGACAUCAGGAGGUUAGUGCAAUGGCAUAAGCUGGCUUGACUGCGAGCGUGACGGCGCGAGCAGGUGCGAAAGCAGGUCAUAGUGAUCCGGUGGUUCUGAAUGGAAGGGCCAUCGCUCAACGGAUAAAAGGUACUCCGGGGAUAACAGGCUGAUACCGCCCAAGAGUUCAUAUCGACGGCGGUGUUUGGCACCUCGAUGUCGGCUCAUCACAUCCUGGGGCUGAAGUAGGUCCCAAGGGUAUGGCUGUUCGCCAUUUAAAGUGGUACGCGAGCUGGGUUUAGAACGUCGUGAGACAGUUCGGUCCCUAUCUGCCGUGGGCGCUGGAGAAUUGAGGGGGGCUGCUCCUAGUACGAGAGGACCGGAGUGGACGCAUCACUGGUGUUCGGGUUGUCAUGCCAAUGGCAUUGCCCGGUAGCUAAAUGCGGAAGAGAUAAGUGCUGAAAGCAUCUAAGCACGAAACUUGCCCCGAGAUGAGUUCUCCCUGACUCCUUGAGAGUCCUGAAGGAACGUUGAAGACGACGACGUUGAUAGGCCGGGUGUGUAAGCGCAGCGAUGCGUUGAGCUAACCGGUACUAAUGAACCGUGAGGCUUAACCUU
Molecule: ribosomal RNA, 1875 nt
Filed under: human gut metagenome
Description: bacterial LSU rRNA
Rfam family: Bacterial large subunit ribosomal RNA
Source: RNAcentral